GCUCAUUAAAUCAGUUAUCGUUUAUUUGAUAGUACCUUUCCUACUUGGAUAACCGUGGUAAUUCUAGAGCUAAUACAUGCUAAAAAUCCCGACUUCGGAAGGGAUGCAUUUAUCAGAUACAGAACCAAUGCCCUCCGGGGCUUCCUGGUGAAUCAUGAUAACUCCGCGGAUCGCACGGCCUUGCGCUGGCGAUGGUUCAUUCAAAUUUCUGCCCUAUCAACUUUCGACGGCUGGGUCUUGGCCAGCCGUGGUGACAACGGGUAACGGAGGGUUAGGGCUCGACCCCGGAGAAGGAGCCUGAGAGACGGCUACUACAUCCAAGGAAGGCAGCAGGCGCGCAAAUUACCCAAUCCCGACACGGGGAGGUAGUGACAAUAAAUACUGAUCCAGGGCUCUUUUGGGUCUUGGAAUUGGAAUGAGUACAAUUUAAAUCCCUUAACGAGGAACAAUUGGAGGGCAAGUCUGGUGCCAGCAGCCGCGGUAAUUCCAGCUCCAAUAGCGUAUAUUAAAGUUGUUGAGGUUAAAAAGCUCGUAGUUGAACCUUGGGCCUGGCUGGCCGGUCCGCCUCACCGCGUGCACUGGUCCGGCCGGGCCUUUCCCUCUGGGGAACCUCAUGCCCUUCACUGGGUGUGCUGGGGAACCAGGACUUUUACUCUGAACAAAUCAGAUCGCUCAAAGAAGGCUCUCGCUCGAAUGCAUUAGCAUGGAAUAAUGGAAUAGGACGCGCGGUCCUAUUUUGUUGGUUUCUAGGACCGCCGUAAUGAUUAAUAGGGACAGUCGGGGGCAUCCGUAUUCAGUUGUCAGAGGUGAAAUUCUUGGAUCUACUGAAGACGAACUACUGCGAAAGCAUUUGCCAAGGAUGUUUUCAUUAAUCAGGAACGAAAGUUAGGGGAUCGAAGACGAUCAGAUACCGUCGUAGUCUUAACCAUAAACUAUGCCGAUUAGGGAUCGGACGAUGCUAUUUUUUGGCUCGUUCGGCACCUUACGACAAAUCAAAAUG
This 1000-nucleotide ribosomal RNA is filed under the name Cryptophiale udagawae. RNAcentral describes it as "SSU rRNA". It matches the Rfam family "Eukaryotic small subunit ribosomal RNA", at positions 96 to 1105 of the family's 1831-position model. Lineage: Eukaryota; Fungi; Ascomycota. The record is from RNAcentral.